RNAcentral lists this ribosomal RNA (253 nucleotides) under uncultured bacterium. RNAcentral describes it as "partial 16S ribosomal RNA". It matches the Rfam family "Bacterial small subunit ribosomal RNA", at positions 524 to 776 of the family's 1533-position model. The record is from RNAcentral.
UACGAAGGGUGCAAGCGUUACUCGGAAUUACUGGGCGUAAAGCGUGCGUAGGCGGUUUGUUAAGUCCGUUGUGAAAGCCCUGGGCUCAACCUGGGAAUUGCAGUGGAUACUGGCAAGCUAGAGUACGGUAGGGGAUGGUGGAAUUCCCGGUGUAGCGGUGAAAUGCGUAGAGAUCGGGAGGAACACCCGUGGCGAAGGCGGCCAUCUGGACCGGUACUGACGCUGAGGCACGAAAGCGUGGGGAGCAAACAGG